This is a long non-coding RNA of Gopherus flavomarginatus (Mexican gopher tortoise), 528 nucleotides long. RefSeq lists it as uncharacterized. The transcript has 5 exons. The record is from RefSeq and is a predicted model, not a curated record. NCBI's taxonomy places the organism in Eukaryota, Metazoa, Chordata, Testudines, Testudinidae.
GUCGGGAGGUCCGAUCCACUCCUCGGGGUACCGGGCGUCGGGAGGUCCAGUCCACUCCUCGGGGUACCGGGCGUCGGGAGGUCCGGUCCACUCCUCGGGGUACCGGGCGUCGGGAGGUCCGGUCCACUCCUCGGGGUACCGGGCGUCGGGAGGUCCGGUCCACUCCUCGGGGUACCGGGCGUCGGGAGGUCCGGUCCACUCCUCGGGGUACCGGGCGUCGGGAGGUCCAGUCCACUCCUCGGGGUACCGGGCGUCGGGAGGUCCGGUCCACUCCUCGGGGUACCGGGCGUCGGGAGGUCCGGUCCACUCCUCGGGGUACCGGGCGUCGGGAGGUCCGGUCCACUCCUCGGGGUACCGGGCGUCGGGAGGUCCGGUCCACUCCUCGGGGUACCGGGCGUCGGGAGGUCCGGUCCACUCCUCGGGGUACCGGGCGUCGGGAGGUCCGGUCCACUCCUCGGGGUACCGGGCGUCGGGAGGUCCAGACAGCUCCUCCACAGUCCGAGUGUCGGACCGCUCAGUCGGCUCCUC